RNAcentral lists this long non-coding RNA (203 nucleotides) under Ananas comosus (pineapple). Its description in RNAcentral is "long non-coding RNA (ACOM_LNC016923)". Lineage: Eukaryota; Viridiplantae; Streptophyta; Magnoliopsida; Poales; Bromeliaceae. The record is from RNAcentral.
CUAAAUGCAAAAUAGCCUUUAUUAGAGUGGGCUGAGCCCUCUCUCUCCCUCACACUCUCUCAUUCCUCUCUCUCACUCUCAUUUCUCUCUUGCUCUCUCUCUCUCUAGAAAGGAAAGAAGGAGAGGAAGAAGAAGAAGGAGAGGAAGGAAAAGAAAGGGAAGAUAAGGAAGAAGAAGAAGAAGGAGAUCAAGGGGAAGGCUUU